This 984-nucleotide ribosomal RNA is filed under the name Amphibalanus sp. Bcl4117PM1378. Its description in RNAcentral is "SSU rRNA". It matches the Rfam family "Eukaryotic small subunit ribosomal RNA", at positions 454 to 1413 of the family's 1831-position model. Lineage: Eukaryota; Metazoa; Arthropoda; Thecostraca; Balanomorpha; Balanidae. The record is from RNAcentral.
GUUCAGGGAGGUAGUGACAAUAAAUACCUUACAGAGGUCUCGUUAACCGAGAUCUCUCAAACGGAAUGAGUACAACGUGAAUCCUUUAACGAGGAUCGACUGGAGGGCAAGCCUGGUGCCAGCAGCCGCGGUAAUUCCAGCUCCAGUAGCGUAUAUUAAAGCUGUUGCGGUUAAAAAGCUCGUAGUUGGAUAUCAGUGCGUGUCCGGUCCGGUAUGCCUGGCGGCGGCGCUCGCGCGUCACUGCUGGGCUCCCAAAUAUCGGCUGGCCGCAUUCAAUCGUGCCGGAUCCGUCGCCGGGCCGUUCUUCGGAGGGGCCUGGUGGCGACCGGCGACGUUACCUUGAACAAAUUAGAGUGCUCAAAGCAGGCUCUGAAUGCCUGUAUACAUAUUCAUGGAAUUGGAGAAUACGUCCCUGGCUCGAUUUGGUUGGUUUUGAGAGUCGAAGGGAAAUGAUUAAUAGGGACUGACGGAGGCAUUCGUAUUGCGACGCGAGGGGUGAAAUCCUGUGACCGUCGCACGACGAACUACUGCGAAAGCAUUUGCCGAGAAUGUUUUCAUUAGUCAAGAACGAAAGUUAGAGGUUCGAAGGCGAUCAGAUACCGCCCUAGUUCUAACCGUAAACGAUGUCGACCAGCAAUCCGCAACGGUCACUACACGGACUGUGCGGGCAGCUUCCCCGGGGAAACCAGAGUUUUUGGACUCCGGGGGAAGUAUGGUUGCAAAGCUGAAACUUAAAGGAAUUGACGGAAGGGCACCACCAGGAGUGGAGCUUGCGGCUUAAUUUGACUCAACACGGGACAACUCACCAGGCCCGGACACCGUAAGGAUUGACAGACUGAUAGCUCUCUCUUGAUUCAGUGGGUGGUGGUGCAUGGCCGUUCUUAGUUGGUGGAGUGAUUUGUCUGGUUUAUUCCGAUAACGAACGAGACUCUGGCCUAUUAAACUUGACACUGUCAGUCUCUUGUGACUGCGGUGGGCUUCUUA